CAGAGGUCCCAAGCGUUGUUCGGAUUCACUGGGCGUAAAGGGUGCGUAGGCGGUCGGGUAAGUCUGAUGUGAAAUCUCACAGCUUAACUGUGAAACUGCAUUGGAUACUAUCCGGCUCGAGGAAUGGAGGGGGAGACUGGAAUACUUGGUGUAGCAGUGAAAUGCGUAGAUAUCAAGUGGAACACCAGUGGCGAAGGCGAGUCUCUGGACAUUUCCUGACGCUGAGGCACGAAAGCCAGGGGAGCAAACGGGAUUAGAUACCCCCGGUAGUCCUGGCCCUAAACGGUGCGCAUUUGCUGUGAGUGGAAUCGACCCCGCUCGUGGCGAAGCUAACGCGUUAAAUGCGCCGCCUGGGAAAUACGGCCGCAAGGUUA
This 374-nucleotide ribosomal RNA is filed under the name uncultured organism. Its description in RNAcentral is "bacterial SSU rRNA". It matches the Rfam family "Bacterial small subunit ribosomal RNA", at positions 526 to 896 of the family's 1533-position model. The record is from RNAcentral.